ACACCCACUAAAUUGUUGGAACAAAGAUCGCAUAGGAAUAUGAUUAUGAUUAAAAUCUAACUAACUUUGUGAUAAAAAUAAAAACAAACAAACAUACAGAUAAACGCAAAUAAAUUAACUCACAGAUGAUCGCUAAAUUCCAAAAUUGUGGAAAAAGAAUAUCAACAUAUUAAUCCGGAAGCGUGCGAGGCACUGCCCUAAGGUGUAUUCCCGUCCUUACGUGCGUGAUUAACCGAANGAAAUAACACCCCAAGGUACGACCGGAAUUCCUCAUUCUGCGAGCAUGAUCGUGAAGGAGGUUGAUGGAGAUUCUCAACACCCAGUAGAUAAGAAGAAUAUUCAAAUAAUAAAAGAUAAGAGAUGAAUAGAUAAAGAUUAACAAAAUUAUCUAAAUCUCAUUUUUCAAUAAGGAGGAAAAAAAAAGAGAUUAAAGUAUCGAAGAAAGGGAAAGAGAAUUCACGCUCUUUUUCUUACGAGAAAGAAGCAGAACCGCACAACGGAACGAGUUCCUUUUGGCGCAAGAAACGGAACGGAAAUAUCCCGUUAGUUCCUUUCUCACUAAGAAAUUAAAUAAAUAAAUAAAUAAGAUAAUAAAUAUCAAUGAAUAUUAAAUGAUAAUUCAAAAUUCAAAUAGAAUAAAAUUCAAACUUUAAAUUUUUGAGUUUUCACCAACA
Molecule: long non-coding RNA, 674 nt
Filed under: Ananas comosus (pineapple)
Lineage: Eukaryota; Viridiplantae; Streptophyta; Magnoliopsida; Poales; Bromeliaceae
Description: long non-coding RNA (ACOM_LNC013814)
Source: RNAcentral